RNAcentral lists this long non-coding RNA (7329 nucleotides) under Solanum tuberosum (potato). RNAcentral describes it as "long non-coding RNA (STUB_LNC010560)". Lineage: Eukaryota; Viridiplantae; Streptophyta; Magnoliopsida; Solanales; Solanaceae. The record is from RNAcentral.
GUAAGAGUAUGAUUUAGAGGCUCAGAUCUGCAAAGAGAUCAGGACGAAAGAGAGGCGACCACGCCAUGGCUGCAAAAUCAUCAACCAUCUGGUGAUUUGCUAAGCCAAGAUACGGAUCUGAUAGUCUCCAUCACCGCCUCUAAUUUUAUGCAAAAUCAACCAACAUACAUGCAGAGAGUAACAGAGACAAAAAAGACCAGAUUAUUGGCAAGUUGAGGAAUAUAGUAGUAUAUGUAUAUUUGCCAUUUCAAUGAUCCAGUAAUUUCCCAGAAAUUAACAUGAAUCCAAGGGUUGUUGCUUCUUCUUUUUUGGGGAAAAAUCAUUGGCUAAACAAGAGAGGGGCAACCACCCUUGUUAACAAAAUUCCUAAACUCUCUGUUUUGCCUCUUUUUUUUGUUUUUGUUUUCUGGGAUAACUUUUUCUUUGCUGGAAAAGUUGUUUGGUUCUCAAUACACACUUUUUUUAACAAUAAUCUAAAAGACAUUCAUAACCUCUGCUUCAAAGUUCUUGAGAGAAAAGGAGCUUGAUACAUGGCUAGAUGCCAAGAAGUUCCCUUCACAUACAUCAAGCCUUUUCAAAGUUUUCUUCACAGGAUGGUGCAAGAACAAGAAAUCAUCGCGCCACAAGAACAACACCUCUCCAUCAUCCAAAACUUUCAACAGAUUAAUCAUUUCAUAGCACAACCAAUAAUUGUUGCAUUCAGGAGAAAUGUUUAUCACAAUCUGUUUAACCCAUGAAUCAGUAACUCCGUAUUCUUUCAUCACCCAUACCUCAAAAUGAGUAUCUGCAUUAUUAUCACACACACAUAAACAACGUCCAAACUUCGUAAAUUUGGACAAUUUUCCUUACUGUACCCUGGAGCAGCAGUUGGGAAUGAUUCAAACAACUCAUUCUCCAAAUUAAACGAACAUAUUAACUCAUUUUGAUUAGCAUCAGAAACCAACCAAUGAAGUUUUCCAUAUAGAUUCACCCUGUAUGCCCUGCAUCCAAAACAGAACAUGAUAUGUUCUACACUAUUUCUCCAAUACCCUUUCCCAAUUGUGUAAACUUGAGCUUCAGACUUGUAAUAACGAAAACCAUUAGUAUCAUCAUCGUGAAUCUCCUCUUGGUAAAUUCUUACCACUUUGUACUCAAACCUAACAGGAUCGAAACCAAAGCCAUAAGUAACUAAAUUAGGCCAUUUUCGUACCCCUUGUGGCUGAGGAAUGAUGAUAUAUUCUCUGGUUGUUGGAUUGAGGAUGUAAAUACUAUCGACAUCACCGAAAAAGUUAUUAAAACAAACGAAACCAUGAACCGAUCCAACGAGGAAAAAUCGAUCAAUAGGAAAGUAAAGUUGUAGAUCAAUGUCAUCAAUUGGAUCAUGAUCAAAGUUAUCGACUACGAAUUUCAAAAACUUUAAGGUGUUGGUCCUAGGAGUUGUCCUAUUAGAGUGGAAUUGGUUGAUGAUGAUGCUGGCUGGAGAUGCUGAACGUGACAGUUUUGUAAAUUCGGAAUCUAAGGUUAGAUUUAGAAAAGAUUUGGAGAGGGUUUUGACAUAUAGGAGUGUGGUAGGAGGUAAUGUAGAGAGAAUUUGUAACAAGAUUGGAGAUGGAAGAUCCAUCAGGGAUGUUGCUUCUUCACUCAUUUCUUACAAAAGUCUUAGCGCUGAUAUUUUGCUAUUUAUAGCAAGUGGCUCGGUGAGUUUGAUCAUAAAAAUUAUUCAUAUUUGUUUUCUAACUUUAUUUAAAAAUCACUAUUUGAUUAUGAUUUUUCAACUCUAAUCUUCUAUAUUUAACUAUAAUAUUCAAACAGUUUUCCGGUCAAACUUGGACAACACGCAUUCAGUAUUAAAGGUAAACAGUUAUGUUUUGGCAACAUGACAAGAGUAAAGCGCAAGCAUAUUUGAAAUUAAAAAACUAUUAAAUAUUGUCUUUAAUUUGACUAUCGAUUAAAUAAAAAGAGAAUGUUAGCAACUUAUUUGCAAGCAAAGCUCAUUUAUUAAUUUCCAAUUAGCUUAAGUUUCCAUCAAGAGUACGUUCAGGUAAGGGAAUGCACCAAGCUCAAAAAAAGGAUCUUUAGCCCCAUUUCUCGUUGUUUUUCUGAGUUCAUCGAUUAUUUUCAAUCUCAUUUCAUUCUCUUAGUAAUUUGAUCUAAAUAUCAUGUCUACGAUCUUUACCUUUCCAAAAAAUGCCUUUAUUCUACAUUAAUGGUAUAAUAAAAUAUAUCUCAUUUGAACUAAUAUAUACAAUUUUAAUAUGAUUUUUAUUAACGAAAAAGUAUAUGAUUACAUAAUUUUUAUUCUUUAUAUAUAUAUAUAUACUAGAUUCACUGCACGUGCGUNNNNNNNNNNNNNNNNNNNNNNNNNNNNNNNNNNNNNNNNNNNNNNNNNNNNNNNNNNNNNNNNNNNNNNNNNNNNNNNNNNNNNNNNNNNNNNNNNNNNAAGUAAUUGUGCACGAAUUAACAGUUUGUCCUCUUAGCUAUGUCGUGUCAUGAACUAUAUGUUCCCUUUUAUUAUUUGAAAUUCAGUGUACCCUGUAUUUGAAUAACUUUAUAUACACAAAAGUAAUGUCUUCUGUGGUAGCUGUCUGGUGUUUUUCAUAUCAUCUCCUCUUCCACCAAACCUAAGAAUUCGUCCAAUAUAAUUUUCAUUAGGAACUGUAUGUUCCCUUUUGUUUUUUCCUGUUUGAUUUCUUACAAUUUUGGUAUUAAUCAAAUCUCACCCAAUACUUUCUUGUAGGCAGUAUUUCUUGUGUAUGUCCCGGUGCAUCAAUCUAGUUGUUCAGUCAUGACCUGCACUUUUUUUGUUGGAAUAGAUAUUCCUCUAGAUAGUGCAAUGUAGAUUUUGCCAUGCGAGAAAUCAUGUUGUGGUAGGUAUACUCCUACAUUUGACAUCGUUUGACCUUUAGCUUUUUUUUAUCAUCAUUGCAAAAACAUAAACGUAUUGGAAAUUGUUUCCGAAUAAAUUUAAAAGGGUAUCCUUCAUUUUCGCGGGGGAAGGGGGGGGGUGAUAGUUGUAUUGUUGGAGUAAACACCUGGUUUGUAGCAUAUUGACAUGUUGUUUUUUCUGUAUGUAUUACAUUUUCGUCAGUGCCUCUACAAAUCAACCAUGUCCCAUUGCAUAAGCCAUUUGAGGGGUCCAAUUUUCUCAACAGCUUGAUGGGUGCAUUUUCUUUCAAAACUAACCUAAUGUAUAAAAUUAACAAAAUUAUCAAUUGUUAUGUAUAUGUAAUCGGGUAAUUCUUUUCUUCUCUUUCGUGCUAUGAAGUAUCACAAUAAGAUAAUUGUAAAAGUUAUGAUGAAUUAGACAACGUACCUAUGCGGCGGAGUCCAUUGGGCGUUAAGGUGUUUAGGUAUAAAUACAAUUCAUAUCUUUACUGAGGUCGAUUCUAUGUAGUCUUGCACACUACAUCCUAGUAAAUAUUUAGCCGCUUCAAAUAGUAUAGCUCGGGCAUGUUGUUCUCCACCACACACUUCAAGUCGUAAGCAGUAUCUGUUUAAAAAGGGGAGUCAUUUUAAAGUUAAAGUUAAUUUGUUUUCUAAUUAGUAAAUGUAGAAUCGAUUUUUUACUAAGUCUAACCUCAUUUCAUAUUCUACAUUCUCAUCGUUGCAAUUGUUACACGAUACAAUAUGUUCUAUAACUUUCACUUUUUUGCUGCACUUUUUGCAAGAUGAAUACCACAACUCAUCUUUAUUGAGUAUGUCUAUAAUUGUUGCUUUGAACUUGUACAAACAAUCCUACACAUCGCCAAUAUAUCAUAUUUGUGAUUAUAUUUUGGAUAUUAAAAUGGUUAUUAUUUUUAGAGAGUGAAAGUGUAGGAUAUAUAGUAUGUACUUGUGAAUCAGCUAUCAAUCAAUCCAUAAUAUAUACCAACGGAACUUCUAUGGCUCUUCCCAUUUCCUUACUUGAUGUUACCAUAAAAUCUUUAUUUUCGGCCUUUAUCAUUUCACGCCUGUAUUUUUGAUGAGAUUAGUUAAUUGUAUCACCCAUUUUGAGUGAGAUGUCCUCGGUGCAAAGGUUUUGAGAACUUAAAAAUUUUAGUAUGCAAUAACCCAUCAAUGAUAAUAGAACAAUUGUGUCCUGUUAUAGGAACUUUAAAAGUAACCUGUACAAUGCAAAAGUAUAGUAUGCACAUUAAUUGUGACAAUCGGGUUUAGAUAACAUUGCAGAACAUAUGUGUGAUUAAUGUAAUGUAUCAGGUCUGUGAAUUUUUGAAAUUGUGGAUUGACAAGACGCUACUCAUGGAAAUAAUAGAUAUUUCAAAAGUGCCUAGCGUGACAAGAGCUUGUUUCAACUUUGAAACAACAACUAUACUCAGUUUAUUAUAAAAACACAAAGUAGUCUGUCAAAUACUUUUAUAGAUUGAGAUUCUAACGUCACAUAAGUCCAGUAUAGGUUUAUCAUCUUUCAUCUUUUCUAGAAAAGCACCGUCAUUUUUUGCAAAAUCUUCUCAUAGAGUAACAGUUGUAUUCUCCAUGCUGGGGCGAAAUGUGAAUACUUCACCAUAUCUCUAUAGUGGUGGUAUUUUACGCAUCUUUAAAACAUACUGCUCAUUUGUAACAACUAUCUCCCGUCUCUUGCUAUAUUUUUUUCAAUGAGAGGAUUCAUUAAAACUAAAACGCAAAUCAAAUCUUAGAAUAGGUAAUGUAAAUUAGUGAUAGCGAUUGCGUAAUGGAGCAUGAAAUUAAAUAACAAUUUUUUUGGAUGAAUAGUUACCUAGAAUAGCACCAUUAGGUAAUUUAUCGACAUAAUCCAAUGAUACAAAACCAACAGAGAAUCUGUGUGUUGAAACCUCAAUGUCAGUCGCCUUUAUGAUUGUGUUAUCUGUAAAUGUCAAUUCAACUUCUUUAUGUACGAAAUAGUAGUUGGGGUUGACGCGUACUAAGCGUCUUUUAGCAAUGUAGUAACUCUUAUUUGGUCUCAAGGAGUCCUUCCAUGUUUCGAUAUGCUUAUUAAAUAGUGUUGCUUGGAUUUUUGUACCUAGUAUUGUGCAAAGGGGUGGGAGUAUAAGUACAAUAAACAUGAACGAUAAAAUAAUAAGGUAAGUAAAUAUGUAAAUGUUAGUACCUCUUCAUUAACUAAUAUUAUUGUUCUGAAAGUCCCUUUAUGCCUUGAAUUCUUGUAAGGUAUUAUUGAACCCCUUCAAAUCACUAAGACUCUCAUCACCGAAUUAACGGACUGUUUUUGUAACUUGUUUAUCGGUACAUUCCAUUUUGCUAGUUCAAUUUCAGUCGUCAUGUGGGCUGGAGCUUGAUGACUACCAUUGGGCGGCAAUGUUAAUUCUAGGCGUUAUUGUGUAUUAGUACCAUUGAUGAGGGCGACAAAUUGUCGAAAUCAACAUGAUUAGGCAGGGAUUUGAUGCAUAAAAGAGGGUAUCAUUAAGAUGUAAAGUGCGGCUAAACUAAGGUUAGAAGUAACAUAUAUAUGUAAAGUAUGUGUUUGAAAUUGCCAGGGUACUGUAUAUGAGCAGGUGAACCAAUAAUAGGCUGUAUAAGUAAUGCUUCACGUUGAGAAACAAAGUUGAUUAGUGGUGUAAAAUAUGUGUUUACAAUUUCCAGGGGACUGUAUGCAAGCAGGUGAACUAAUAAAUAUAUAUUUGCAUUAAUAAAAAUAUUUAUCUCAUAAAAUUAGCUAUUAAAUAAAUAAUAAAAAUUAAACUAAUACAAACUUAGACUGACGUUAUUACAAGACAUAUGAACUUUUCUUUGUCUAAAAUACUGAAAUAUUUAAGAAAUAGUAAAUAAGUUAAACAAAAGGGCAAUGUUUACAUAGUCUAACUAUUUUGAAGAAAACUUUCUAAGAGUCUAAAUCACAUAAGUAUCAUUGAUAAAUAAAGUCAUUCUUUUGUCUUGAGCAUUAAAACAAAUCGUGACAAUUUUCUAAAUUUUGGAAAAAGAUAUUCAGAAGCAUAUAUCUACAUCACAAGAGAAAUUGUUAACAAAAACAAAUGAAUUUAGACUAUAUCAUGUAACUUCAUAUAUUGAAACUGAACGUGACAGUUUUUGUAAAUUUCGGAAUCUAAGGUUAGAUUUAGAAAAGAUUUGGAGACGCUUUUGACGUAUAAGAGUGUGGUAGGAGGUAAUUUAGAUAGAAUUUGUAACAAGAUUGGAGAUGGAAGAUCCAUCAGGGAUGUUGCUUCUUCACUCAUUUCUUACAAAUCUUAGCACUAAUGUUUUGCUUUUUAAAGCGUUUAUUAUAGCAAAGUGGCUUGGUGAUUAAAUUGUUGUAUUUAAGUAUAUUCAAACAUAAGACCAUUAUUCAAUAGUAUGUUUUUUUAAUCAAUUCUACAAUUGUCGAGUUGGUCAAUACUUGUGAAAGAAUUUUCCGGUCAAACUUGUACAAGCGCAAGCAUAUUUGAAAUAAAGAGACUAUUAAAUUGUCAAUGUAUUAGCAACUUAAUUACAAGCAAAACUCAUUCAUUAAUGGAUGUUGAAUUGACUUAAAAUUUGAUCAAACAUAUUUUUAAGUCAAUUUUUAAUUUUUGAAAGUGUUUAACCAAAUAUUAAAAAAAAAAUUAAAAUAAGUUAUAACUAAAAGACUUGAAAGUUCUAUAAAGUUGGUUGUUUUCAACUAUUUUCCGUUUUUAAUAAAUUAUUGGUAUCUUACCUCUUUUAAAUGAAUCAUUUUUUAAUUUCUUGUGUAUGAUUAAUAACUGAACCAAACCCAACUAAAACCAUUAACACAAACCAAUAAACAUAUAAAUUUAACAACUAAUUUAAUUUUUAAUUUUAACCAAUAAUCGACCCAAAUUAAUCUGGGAACACCCCUGCCUAGUACCUACAGUCCUAAUUCUAAACAGAGAAACAGACAUAGGAAAACAAAGUUUUGGAUGAUUUAGAGGCUCAGAUCUGCAAAGAGAUCGGUCGAAAGAGAGGCGACCACGCCAUGGCUGCAAAAUCACCAGUUCUCAGGUGAUUUGCCUAGCCAAGAUACGGAUCGGAUAGUCUCCAUCACCGAUCCAGUUAGCCCAGAAUUCAAAGAAAUCAUCAUCACCGCCUCUAUUUUUAUGCAAAAUCAACCAACAUACAUGCAGAGAGUAACAGAGACAAAAAAAGACCAGAUUAUUGGCAAGUUGAGGGAAUAUAGUAGUAUAUGUAUAUUUGCCAUUUCAAUGAUCCAGUAAUUUCCCAGAAAUUAACAUGAAUCCAAGGGUUGUUGCUUCUUCUUUUUUUGGGAAAAAAGAAAUCAUUGGCUAAACAAGAGAGGGGCAACCACCCUUGUUAACAAAAUUCCUAAACUCUCUGUUUUGCCUCAAUUUUUUUGUUUUCUGGGCUAACUUUUUCUUUGCUGGAAAAGUUGUUUGGUUCUCAACCAAAUAACUUUCCACUUUUUCACUGUGAGUUUUCCUUGUU